RNAcentral lists this ribosomal RNA (431 nucleotides) under uncultured bacterium. RNAcentral's name for it is "bacterial SSU rRNA". It matches the Rfam family "Bacterial small subunit ribosomal RNA", at positions 343 to 791 of the family's 1533-position model. The record is from RNAcentral.
UGGAGGCAGCAGUGAGGAAUAUUGCACAAUGGGCGAAAGCCUGAUGCAGCAACGCCGCGUGAGUGAUGAAGGCCUUCGGGUUGUAAAGCUCUGUCUUUGGGGACGAUAAUGACGGUACCCAAGGAGGAAGCCACGGCUAACUACGUGCCAGCAGCCGCGGUAAUACGUAGGUGGCAAGCGUUGUCCGGAUUUACUGGGCGUAAAGGAUGCGUAGGUGGAUAUGCAAGUCAGAUGUGAAAUACCCGGGCUUAACUCGGGUGCUGCAUUUGAAACUAUAUAUCUAGAGUGCAGGAGAGGUAAGUGGAAUUCCUAGUGUAGCGGUGAAAUGCGUAGAGAUUAGGAAGAACACCAGUGGCGAAGGCGACUUACUGGACUGUAACUGACACUGAGGCAUGAAAGCGUGGGGAGCAAACAGGAUUAGAUACCCCGGU